RNAcentral lists this ribosomal RNA (346 nucleotides) under uncultured bacterium. Its description in RNAcentral is "partial 16S ribosomal RNA". It matches the Rfam family "Bacterial small subunit ribosomal RNA", at positions 338 to 681 of the family's 1533-position model. The record is from RNAcentral.
CCUACGGGAGGCAGCAGUGAGGAAUAUUGGUCAAUGGGCGCGAGCCUGAACCAGCCAAGUAGCGUGAAGGAUGACUGCCCUACGGGUUGUAAACUUCUGUUAUAAAGGAAUAAAGUGAGGCACGUGUGCCUUUUUGUAUGUACGUUAUGAAUAAGGAUCGGAUAACUCCGUGCCAGCAGCCGCGGUAAUACGGAGGAGCCGAGCGUUAUCCGGAUUUAUGGGGUUUAACGGGAGCGUAGAUGGGUUGUUAAGUCAGUUGUGAAAGUUUGCGGCUCAACCGUAAAAUUGCAAUUGAUACUGGCAGUCUUGCGUACAGUUGCGUUAGGCGGCAUUCGUUGUGUAGCGG